AGAGGCGGCAGGGUAGCCUAGUGGUUAGAGUGUUGAGGCGGCAGGGUAGCCUAGCGGUUAGAGUGUAGAGGCGGCAGGGUAGCCUAGCGGUUAGAGUGUAGAGGCGGCAGGUAGCCUAGUGGUUAGAGUGUAGAGGUGGCAGGUAGCCUAGUGGUUAGAGUGUAGAGGUGGCAGGUAGCCUAGUGGUUAGAGUGUAGAGGUGGCAGGUAGCCUAGUGGUUAGAGUGUAGAGGAGGCAGGUAGCCUAGUGGUUAGAGUGUAGAGGUGGCAGGUAGCCUAAUGGUUAGAGUGUAGAGGAGGCAGGUAGCCUAGUGGUUAGAGUGUAGAGGUGGCAGGUAGCCUAAUGGUUAGAGCAUUGAGCCAGUAACGGAAAGGUUACUAGAUCGAAUCCCUGAGAUGAAAAGGUAAACAUCUGUCGUUCCGCCCCUGAACAAGGCAGUUAACCCCACUGUUC
Molecule: long non-coding RNA, 453 nt
Organism: Oncorhynchus tshawytscha (Chinook salmon)
Lineage: Eukaryota; Metazoa; Chordata; Actinopteri; Salmoniformes; Salmonidae
Source: Ensembl